RNAcentral lists this ribosomal RNA (465 nucleotides) under uncultured Klebsiella sp. RNAcentral's name for it is "bacterial SSU rRNA". It matches the Rfam family "Bacterial small subunit ribosomal RNA", at positions 338 to 795 of the family's 1533-position model. The record is from RNAcentral. Lineage: Bacteria; Pseudomonadati; Pseudomonadota; Gammaproteobacteria; Enterobacterales; Enterobacteriaceae.
CCUACGGGCGGCUGCAGUGGGGAAUAUUGCACAAUGGGCGCAAGCCUGAUGCAGCCAUGCCGCGUGUGUGAAGAAGGCCUUCGGGUUGUAAAGCACUUUCAGCGGGGAGGAAGGCGUUAAGGUUAAUAACCUUGGCGAUUGACGUUACCCCCAGAAGAAGCACCGGCUAACUCCGUGCCAGCAGCCGCGGUAAUACGGAGGGUGCAAGCGUUAAUCGGAAUUACUGGGCGUAAAGCGCACGCAGGCGGUCUGUCAAGUCGGAUGUGAAAUCCCCGGGCUCAACCUGGGAACUGCAUUCGAAACUGGCAGGCUAGAGUCUUGUAGAGGGGGGUAGAAUUCCAGGUGUAGCGGUGAAAUGCGUAGAGAUCUGGAGGAAUACCGGUGGCGAAGGCGGCCCCCUGGACAAAGACUGACGCUCAGGUGCGAAAGCGUGGGGAGCAAACAGGAUUAGAUACCCCUGUAGUC